Triticum aestivum (bread wheat) is the source of this 115-nucleotide non-coding RNA. NCBI's taxonomy places the organism in Eukaryota, Viridiplantae, Streptophyta, Magnoliopsida, Poales, Poaceae. The record is from Rfam.
CUAAUACUUCCUCCGUUCCAAAUUACUUGUCGUGAAAAUGAAUGUAUCUAGAAUUAAAUUACAUCUAAAUACAUCCAUACCUACGACAAGUAAUUCGGAACGGAGGGAGUAGAUU